AUCAGGCUGACCUACUGAUUAAUGGGGCUGAUGCACUGCCUGUCCCAAGAAGCCCCUGGCAUGUUUAUCAAACUCAGGAGUGUCUGACAGAACAAAGAACCGGGUAGAUCUACCUAUGUGCACAUCUAGAGACCAGAGGAGGACACCAGGUACGCUGCUCUAUUAGGACUCUUUUGAGACCGUCUCUUACUGAACCUGGAGCUAGACUGGCAACCAGUAAAAUCAGGAGAUCUUCCUGACUCAGCCCCACACAGCACUGGGGUUAAAGGUUUGCAUUUGAAGAUGUGAGAUCUCAGCUUCCUUCUGCUGCUGUGCCAUGACAGACUUUGAUUUCUCUGGAAAUAAAGCCCAAAUAAACCAUUUAUAAGUU
Molecule: long non-coding RNA, 370 nt
Organism: Peromyscus leucopus (white-footed mouse)
Lineage: Eukaryota; Metazoa; Chordata; Mammalia; Rodentia; Cricetidae
Exons: 3
Source: RefSeq, a predicted model, not a curated record